GACGAACGCUGGCGGCGUGCUUAACACAUGCAAGUCGAACGGAAAGGCCCUGCUUUUGUGGGGUGCUCGAGUGGCGAACGGGUGAGUAACACGUGAGUAACCUGCCCUUGACUUUGGGAUAACUUCAGGAAACUGGGGCUAAUACCGGAUAGGAGCUCCUGCUGCAUGGUGGGGGUUGGAAAGUUUCGGCGGUUGGGGAUGGACUCGCGGCUUAUCAGCUUGUUGGUGGGGUAGUGGCUUACCAAGGCUUUGACGGGUAGCCGGCCUGAGAGGGUGACCGGCCACAUUGCGACUGCGAUACGGCCCAGACGCCUACGGUAGGCAGCAGGCGGGAAUAUUGCACAAUGGGCGGAAGCCUGAUGCAGCAACGCCGCGUGCGGGAUGACGGCCUUCGGGUUGUAAACCUCUGUCGCCUGUGACGAAGCGUGAGUGACGGUAAUGGGUAAAGAAGCACCGGCUAACUACGUG
RNAcentral lists this ribosomal RNA (468 nucleotides) under uncultured bacterium. RNAcentral's name for it is "partial 16S ribosomal RNA". It matches the Rfam family "Bacterial small subunit ribosomal RNA", at positions 28 to 507 of the family's 1533-position model. The record is from RNAcentral.